This 425-nucleotide ribosomal RNA is filed under the name uncultured bacterium. RNAcentral describes it as "partial 16S ribosomal RNA". It matches the Rfam family "Bacterial small subunit ribosomal RNA", at positions 354 to 796 of the family's 1533-position model. The record is from RNAcentral.
GUGGGGAAUCUUAGACAAUGGGGGAAACCCUGAUCUAGCCAUGCCGCGUGAUCGAUGAAGGCCUUAGGGUUGUAAAGAUCUUUCAGGUGGGAAGAUAAUGACGGUACCCCCAGAAGAAGCCCCGGCUAACUCCGUGCCAGCAGCCGCGGUAAUACGGAGGGGGCUAGCGUUGUUCGGAAUUACUGGGCGUAAAGCGCACGUAGGCGGACCAGAAAGUUGGGGGUGAAAUCCCGGGGCUCAACCUCGGAACUGCCUUCAAAACUCCUGGUCUUGAGUUCGAGAGAGGUGAGUGGAAUUCCGAGUGUAGAGGUGAAAUUCGUAGAUAUUCGGAGGAACACCAGUGGCGAAGGCGGCUCACUGGCUCGAUACUGACGCUGAGGUGCGAAAGCGUGGGGAGCAAACAGGAUUAGAAACCCCUGUAGUCC